Molecule: long non-coding RNA, 701 nt
Filed under: Pan troglodytes (chimpanzee)
Lineage: Eukaryota; Metazoa; Chordata; Mammalia; Primates; Hominidae
Description: long non-coding RNA NONPTRT000301
Source: RNAcentral
AAAUACCAGUAGCCACACUCUUGGUGGCUUAAAAAACACUCACUUUUAAUUUCAUAAUUUCUGAGGGUCAGCAGUCUGAGCAGCACUUAACCGGUGGAUGCUCUGUCUUGGGGUCUCGUAACACCUCAAAUUGUCAUCCAGGGUUGUAAUCUCAUCUGAGGCUCAACUGAGGCAUGCUGUAAAUACCUGACUGAUCUUACAGUGAGGAGAAUAUAGGAUGGAAUGGAUAUAAGAGCAAUCCCAUUAAAGACUACCUGUGGAUAUUAGUCAUCUUCCAAACAAAAGAUGCUGAGUUCUCUAAAUUGCUUCAUGUGAGAUGUAACACAAAACCACAUGACCUAGUUCCUUUCUUUUGUUUACUCACAACAGCACUCUUGAAAGUCACUAUCAGCGCAAAACGUUUGGCCUGACUGGGUAAGGGAUACGUAACAACAUCAUAUGGCAAAGGCUUCUCUGCUUUCUUAGGCUCCUGAAUUGGGCCCAUCCUGGAGCUUAAUAAGCAAGCACUGAGAGCUUAUUUAUGCAUUAGAACAUGGAAAAACUCCAUUUAAAACCCCUUCUCAAGAUUCAGCUGGUUGUCAGAAUGACACGUCUGCUCAGCUAUCCACUCAUGCCCACCUGCUUAUCCAGCUUCCCAUACUCAUGCACCAAGGCAUCAGGGUAGAUAAAGAGGGUUUUUCUAACCUAGAGAUACAUUUAAG